RNAcentral lists this ribosomal RNA (497 nucleotides) under uncultured bacterium. Its description in RNAcentral is "partial 16S ribosomal RNA". It matches the Rfam family "Bacterial small subunit ribosomal RNA", at positions 28 to 507 of the family's 1533-position model. The record is from RNAcentral.
GAUGAACGCUGGCGGCGUGCCUAAUACAUGCAAGUCGAGCGAACAGACGAGGAGCUUGCUCCUCUGACGUUAGCGGCGGACGGGUGAGUAACACGUGGAUAACCUACCUAUAAGACUGGGAUAACUUCGGGAAACCGGAGCUAAUACCGGAUAAUAUAUUGAACCGCAUGGUUCAAUAGUGAAAGACGGUUUUGCUGUCACUUAUAGAUGGAUCCGCGCCGCAUUAGCUAGUUGGUAAGGUAACGGCUUACCAAGGCAACGAUGCGUAGCCGACCUGAGAGGGUGAUCGGCCACACUGGAACUGAGACACGGUCCAGACUCCGACGGGAGGCAGCAGUAGGGAAUCUUCCGCAAUGGGCGAAAGCCUGACGGAGCAACGCCGCGUGAGUGAUGAAGGUCUUCGGAUCGUAAAACUCUGUUAUUAGGGAAGACCAAAUGUGUAAGUAACUAUGCACGUCUUGACGGUACCUAAUCAGAAAGCCACGGCUAACUACGUG